RNAcentral lists this ribosomal RNA (254 nucleotides) under uncultured bacterium. RNAcentral's name for it is "partial 16S ribosomal RNA". It matches the Rfam family "Bacterial small subunit ribosomal RNA", at positions 524 to 776 of the family's 1533-position model. The record is from RNAcentral.
GACGAACCGUGCGAACGUUAUUCGGAAUCACUGGGCUUAAAGCGCGUGUAGGCGGCCCGGCGCGUCGGACGCUGAAAUCCCCCGGCUCAACCGGGGAAGUGGCUCCGAUACGGCCGGGCUGGAGGGGGGUAGGGGGCGCUGGAACUCACGGUGGAGCGGUGAAAUGCGUUGAGAUCGUGAGGAACGCCCGCGGCGAAAGCGAGCGCCUGGACCCUUUCUGACGCUGAGACGCGAAAGCCAGGGGAGCGAACGGG